Molecule: long non-coding RNA, 357 nt
Filed under: Homo sapiens (human)
Lineage: Eukaryota; Metazoa; Chordata; Mammalia; Primates; Hominidae
Description: non-protein coding LINC01518:1
Source: RNAcentral
UUUGCAUGUUUAGCAGAGACGGGGGUUUCACCAUCUUGCCCAGGCUAGUCUCAAACUCGACCUCGUGAUCCACCCGCCUCAGAAUUACAGGAAGCCAUCAUUCUGUAGAAGGCAGUGACGGAACAGUACCAGCAGAAAUUGAAGGACCAGCAGAAGGGAUCAUGGCCAAAGUUGCAGUGUCCCCCCGCUCGUUGAAGAUGAGGAGUUCUCAGAGAGCGGGAUGUUUGUGACAUUCCUCAUGUCAGCUCUCGAGUCCAUGUUUCUUUAUUUGUAGGCAUAGCUGCAUAAAGAAACCAGUUGGCCCACCAGCACCAGGGCUUCUCCACCCCUGACCACAUACCAGGAGAUAAGAUCCCC